Molecule: microRNA precursor, 58 nt
Filed under: Ciona intestinalis (vase tunicate)
Lineage: Eukaryota; Metazoa; Chordata; Ascidiacea; Phlebobranchia; Cionidae
Description: microRNA cin-mir-5612 precursor
Source: miRBase by way of RNAcentral
AGUCAGUUGUUGUUGUAUAUAGAUGUUUUUAAGUUCUAUACAUCACCAGUUGUCUCAU